UACGUAGGGUGCAAGCGUUGUCCGGAAUUAUUGGGCGUAAAGAGCUCGUAGGCGGUCUGUCGCGUCGGCUGUGAAAACCCAGGGCUCAACCCUGGGCCUGCAGUCGAUACGGGCAGACUAGAGUCCGGCAGGGGAGACUGGAAUUCCUGGUGUAGCGGUGAAAUGCGCAGAUAUCAGGAGGAACACCGGUGGCGAAGGCGGGUCUCUGGGCCGGAACUGACGCUGAGGAGCGAAAGCCAGGGGAGCAAACGGG
Molecule: ribosomal RNA, 253 nt
Filed under: uncultured bacterium
Lineage: Bacteria
Description: partial 16S ribosomal RNA
Rfam family: Bacterial small subunit ribosomal RNA
Source: RNAcentral